This 1174-nucleotide long non-coding RNA is filed under the name Marmota monax (woodchuck). Lineage: Eukaryota; Metazoa; Chordata; Mammalia; Rodentia; Sciuridae. The record is from RNAcentral.
GGGGGAUUGAACUCAGGGGCACUCGACCAGUGAGCCACAUCCCCAGCCCUAUUUUGUACUUUAUUUAGAGACAGGGUCUGAGUUGCUUAGCACAGUGCUUUUACUGAGGCUGGCUUUGAAUUCUUGAUCCUCUAGCCUCAGCCUCCAAAGCCACUGGUAUUACAGGUGUGAACCACUGCCUGGAGUAUUAAUUGUUAGCUGAUAACUCAUCUCUUUUCAGAUUUCUCAGUUGUCCCUAAUAUACUAUAUUUGAACCAAGUCUUUUCAAGACUUUUGCAUCAUUGUGUUGUUUUUGUUUAUUUUGACAUAAUUAAUAGAUUCCCAAGAAGGUACAAACACAUGUACCAGAAGAUUCUCUGUACCUUUCACCUAGCCUUCGCAUUGUGAACAUUUGCAUCAUUGCAGGACAGUAUCAAAACCAGGAAAUUAACAUUUUUUGUACAACUUAGCUUAUUCAGGUUUCAGUAAAUUACCAAGAAAAUUGAGAUCCUGACUGUACCUCAUUACAAGAUGCCCUAUUCUCAUCCUGUGCUUCUGGCAACCACUGAUCUGAUCUCCAUGUCUGUAAUUGUGUUAUUUAACAAAUGUUAUAUAAAUGGAGUCAUGAAGCUUGUGUUGUUUUGAAUUUGGGCUCUUGCAUUGACCACAGUUUCCGCGUUCCUCGCUACUGAAACACUCAGGGUCAUUCCAGGUGAACUGGGCUGCAUGAAAUAACCACACAAGAGACAGAGAUACCUUUUUAUUUGGGUCCUGUGACGGCUCCUCUAACCUUAAGGGUCCACAGAAAGAGUGCGUGCGCUGAACCCUUUUAUUGAGGAGAAGCCAUUCAAAUGAGGCAAGGGGUCAGGUUUCAGGGGGUUGAGUCUAGCUUCAUGGUGUCUGUUGUCAGCAGAUUGACUGACAUCUAGGAAAGGCACAGUAAGAGAAAGGGACACACAAAGGACAUUUCCAUGGAACAUUCUAUCCCAAACAGGGCAAAGUGUUAGUAUUACAAAGGAAUGGGUGUAGAUGAGUGUAGCUCAAUCCAUGGGGCAGCAUGCCUACAUCUGAAGACAUGCCGUCAAACUUCCUGGAAUGUCCAGGUCACUACAAGAUGUAGUGACCAGUCAAAGCCUCUCCGCUCCAGGAUGGAAGGUGCGAAUCAUUCAGAGUGGCUCCCCACACACAGUUUCCU